RNAcentral lists this ribosomal RNA (590 nucleotides) under uncultured Burkholderia sp. Its description in RNAcentral is "bacterial SSU rRNA". It matches the Rfam family "Bacterial small subunit ribosomal RNA", at positions 418 to 1003 of the family's 1533-position model. Lineage: Bacteria; Pseudomonadati; Pseudomonadota; Betaproteobacteria; Burkholderiales; Burkholderiaceae. The record is from RNAcentral.
UCGGGUUGUAAAGCACUUUUGUCCGGAAAGAAAACUUCUGCCCUAAUACGGCGGGAGGAUGACGGUACCGGAAGAAUAAGCACCGGCUAACUACGUGCCAGCAGCGCGGUAAUCGUAGGGUGCGAGCGUCAAUCGGAAUUACUGGGCGUAAAGCGUGCGCAGGCGGUUCGUUAAGACAGAUGUGAAAUCCCCGGGCUUAACCUGGGAACUGCAUUUGUGACUGGCGAGCUAGAGUAUGGCAGAGGGGGGUAGAAUUCCACGUGUAGCAGUGAAAUGCGUAGAGAUGUGGAGGAAUACCGAUGGCGAAGGCAGCCCCCUGGGCCAAUACUGACGCUCAUGCACGAAAGCGUGGGGAGCAAACAGGAUUAGAUACCCUGGUAGUCCACGCCCUAAACGAUGUCAACUAGUUGUUGGGUCUUCAUUGACUUAGUAACGUAGCUAACGCGUGAAGUUGACCGCCUGGGGAGUACGGUCGCAAGAUUAAAACUCAAAGGAAUUGACGGGGACCCGCACAAGCGGUGGAUGAUGUGGAUUAAUUCGAUGCAACGCGAAAAACCUUACCUACCCUUGACAUGGUCGGAACCCUGCUG